Molecule: long non-coding RNA, 1739 nt
Organism: Oreochromis aureus
Lineage: Eukaryota; Metazoa; Chordata; Actinopteri; Cichliformes; Cichlidae
Source: Ensembl
GAGAUUUCCGCGGAAGAGCCUGUUAUGGAGGAUCACUAACAGGAGCGUGGGAAGACUCCAGAAUCCACUCUGGCUGGAAUCCGGUGGAUACAGCAGUGUUACAGUUCUCCACAGUCGCUCUCCACAUGGGUCAGUGGGACCACGCAGCACUCUGCUAAUGUGUGGACUCUGACCAGCAACAUCCAGCAAGACCCAGACAGCGUUUUCUAUCUCCCAGCUGGAGUUUUUUGUUUGUCUGUGACUGGAGAGUCACAGAUUUUUGUUGAGGCUGGAGGAACAGCCUCACACUCGCAGAGGUUAAUACACGCUACUGAUCCCUGAUGGGAGAAUCAUCACCUCUGCCAACAAAGAAGCCUGGUGGAUGUUUGUUUACAGUCUGAUGAUGGGACAUCAUGCUCUGCAUCUUCAAAGUUUGUCUCUUGAUUAUUAUUCAUACACAGUAAUGUGAAGUAUGCUUAUAUCUAGUAUAACGGGACCAACGUGGUGCUCUUCAUUUAUGGAGGCUGUUGAGUCUGAAUGUUGGAUGUUGUGUAUCUCUUGUUCUCUGGGCUUUGUUGUCCUCAGUCUUUUUGCAGGAUCAGAAAACAAAACCAGGAUGACCGUAAAUGUUUCUUCUCCAAUUGGAUGAUGAUAAGACUGUGACACGGGAUGCCACCUUUAGUCUUGUGAUGAAGCAAAGCUCAGGAAAAAGUGUGAUUAAAUGGUACCCACAUGUGUGCUGCUGAGAAGGAUGUACAGGGGCACCUGCAGCCAAAUCCAAGCCUCCUCAGCAACUUCAAGUCUGUCAGCGUGCUGAGGUCACAGAAACAAGAAAAGCAGCUUCAGACUUCAGAGUGUUGUUUACAGUUUUCUGUCAUCAUGAUCUCCCCUGAAGUUUAUCACUAUUAGGCAAGCAAGCAGAGCGGCCGUUUGUGCUCACAGAUGGUGACGGUGUGGAGAGACGGUGGUGUUUCCUCAGAAGAACUAGCAGAGUCACAACGGGCACGAGUCCAUCUCACCACCUUGACUUGCUGACUGAUGCUCGUCUGCACUGCACAGAGGAAAUCAACUGACCGAGAUGGGCAGGAUAUCAGUCUUGGACUGUCUAACCUGCCGGAGCAGUACUGAAUGAUCACCACACAUGAGCAUGUUCCUGCAACAUUCAGCAUCUGAUCUGCCAUCUGUGUGCUUCUGCUUUUGUGUCAAAUGUCAAACAGCUGGAGAGGAAACUACACCAGUGUACUGGGAUGUUUCACCAACACGUGCCAGACGCUGUUCCUUCAUGGUGACAUCACCAGAGACAGUCCCGCCCACCUCAGGACCUCUCCAUUGAUCAUGAUGAUUAUAAUAAUGACAGCGAGCGGAACUAAGACUGUAAAAAUCCAUAACCAGAAUGUUUAGAUGCUUUCUAAUUAUUAAUGAAUACUGAGAGUCUCUUUCUGUGUUUUGUCUGGGUUUUUUUUUGUUUUUUUUUUACCUCAUUUGUUACUAACAAAGUUCACCAAACUCACACAGUUUACAUUCUGUAUGCUUCCAUCUUUACCAGCCACACUCUUAACUGCAAUUAAGAAAAUAAUCCUUAGAAAUCUUCGUUUUUCUCUUUUGUAAUUGAUGAUAAUUCAGUGAAUAUACUGCGCUGCUUCCUUUUGUUUCAUCUCACAUUGCUUUAAGUUUUUCAGUGUCCAGUUAUUUUUUACUGCUGUUUGAAUUCUCUGUAUGUUUGACCCUGUAGACUGUUUAAUGGACUGCUUGUCUUCCUG